GAUGAACGCUGGCGGCGUGCCUAAUACAUGCAAGUCGAGCGAACAGAUGAGGAGCUUGCUCCUCUGACGUUAGCGGCGGACGGGUGAGUAGCACGUGGAUAACCUACCUAUAAGACUGGGAUAACUUCGGGAAACCGGAGCUAAUACCGGAUAAUAUAUUGAACCGCAUGGUUCAAUAGUGAAAGACGGUUUUGCUGUCACUUAUAGAUGGAUCCGCGCCGCAUUAGCUAGUUGGUAAGGUAACGGCUUACCAAGGCAACGAUGCGUAGCCGACCUGAGAGGGUGAUCGGCCACACUGGAACUGAGACACGGUCCAGACUCCUACGGGAGGCAGCAGUAGGGAAUCUUCCGCAAUGGGCGAAAGCCUGACGGAGCAACGCCGCGUGGGUGAUGAAGGUCUUCGGAUCGUAAAACUCUGUUAUUAGGGAAGAACAAAUGUGUAAGUAACUAUGCACGUCUUGACGGUACCUAAUCAGAAAGCCACGGCUAACUACGUG
Molecule: ribosomal RNA, 497 nt
Filed under: uncultured bacterium
Lineage: Bacteria
Description: partial 16S ribosomal RNA
Rfam family: Bacterial small subunit ribosomal RNA
Source: RNAcentral